This 68-nucleotide transfer RNA is filed under the name Thaparocleidus varicus. RNAcentral's name for it is "tRNA-Ala". Lineage: Eukaryota; Metazoa; Platyhelminthes; Monogenea; Dactylogyridea; Ancylodiscoididae. The record is from RNAcentral.
AACAAAAUAGCUUAAGUUUAAAAGUUUCUAUUUUGCGUAUAGAGGAUAGUUAGAUAAACUUUUUGUUA